This 502-nucleotide ribosomal RNA is filed under the name uncultured bacterium. RNAcentral's name for it is "partial 16S ribosomal RNA". It matches the Rfam family "Bacterial small subunit ribosomal RNA", at positions 30 to 523 of the family's 1533-position model. The record is from RNAcentral.
AUUGAACGCUGGCGGCAGGCUUAACACAUGCAAGUUGAGCGGGGUGAUGGUGCUUGCACUAUCACUUAGCGGCGGACGGGUGAGUAAUGCUUAGGAAUCUGCCUAUUAGUGGGGGACAACAUCUCGAAAGGGAUGCUAAUACCGCGUACGUCCUACGGGAGAAAGCAGGGGAUCACUUGUGACCCUGCGCUAAUAGAUGAGCCUAAGUCGGAUUAGCUAGUUGGUGGGGUAAAGGCCUACCAAGGCGACGAUCUGUAGCAGGUCUGAGAGGAUGAUCCGCCACACUGGGACUGAGACACGGCCCAGACUCCUACGGGAGGCAGCAGUGGGGAAUAUUGGACAAUGGGGGGAACCCUGAUCCAGCCAUGCCGCGUGUGUGAAGAAGGCCUUCGGGUUGUAAAGUACUUUCAGCGGGGAGGAAGGCGGUGAAGUUAAUAACUUCACCGAUUGACGUUACCCGCAGAAGAAGCACCGGCUAACUCCGUGCCAGCCGCCGCCGUAA